UCCCAGACUCCUACGGGAGGCAGCAGUAGGGAAUCUUUCACAAUGGGCGAAAGCCUGAUGGAGCAACGCCGCGUGCAGGAUGAAGGCCUUCGGGUUGUAAACUGCUUUUAUAAGCGAGAAAUAUGAUGGUAACUUAUGAAUAAGGAUCGGCUAACUACGUGCCAGCAGCCGCGGUAAUACGUAGGGUGCGAGCGUUAAUCGGAAUUACUGGGCGUAAAGAGUUCGUAGGCGGCACGUAAAGUCUGGUGUUAAAGGCAGAGGCUCAACUUCUGUACGGCACUGGAUACUUGCGAGCUAGAAUGCGGUAGAGGGAAAGGGAAUUCCUGGUGUAGCGGUGAAAUGCUUAGAUAUCAGGAGGAACAUCGGUGGCGUAAGCGCUUUACUGGGCCGUAAUUGACGCUGAGGAACGAAAGCCAGGGUAGCAAAUGGGAUUAGAUACCCGUGUACUC
This 449-nucleotide ribosomal RNA is filed under the name uncultured bacterium. Its description in RNAcentral is "bacterial SSU rRNA". It matches the Rfam family "Bacterial small subunit ribosomal RNA", at positions 329 to 795 of the family's 1533-position model. The record is from RNAcentral.